Molecule: ribosomal RNA, 342 nt
Filed under: uncultured bacterium
Lineage: Bacteria
Description: bacterial SSU rRNA
Rfam family: Bacterial small subunit ribosomal RNA
Source: RNAcentral
AGAGUUUGAUCAUGGCUCAGGAUGAACGCUAGCGACAGGCUUAACACAUGCAAGUCGAGGGGCAGCGGGGAGUAGCAAUACUUCGCCGGCGACCGGCGCACGGGUGAGUAACACGUGUGCAACCAACCUCGUGCCGGGAGAUAACCCGCGGAAACGUGGACUAACAUCCCAUGACACUUCAUGAUCGCAUGAUCAUGAUUUUAAAAGAAUGGCACGAGACGGGCACGCGCGACAUUAGGUAGUUGGGGGGUAACGGCCACCAAGCCGACGAUGUCUAGGGGUUCUGAGAGGAAGGUCCCCCANACUGGAACUGAGACACGGUCCAGACUCCUACGGGAGGCA